CUUAAUAUUAAUAAGUGCCAAUAGCUUGAGCUACAGAACUUUCGUCUAACAUUUUUAUUUUCAAUUUUGCCCUUAACUUUAUUCCAAAAUUACGGACAGUUUGCUUUUAUUUCUGUUUUGGUCUUUAGUGAGAUUGUGUCAUUUAAAAGAAUUUCAGACCACACAAAUCUUUCAUUCUCGUCUUCGUAUUCCUCUCAAGUUCUCUCUCUAAACUCAGACUCAUCCUCUAUUCUCUCUCUCUCCGUUUUUGAAUUUAUUUAUUAUUUUGUUUAUGAAUUUGAUGAUCUGUGAUUUUUGUUUGCAGAAGAAGGAAAAUAUCACUCCGAUUGGCUUGAAGAUCGUGCUCACGAACUCAGCUCUCUGCCAAAGCCUCAAGAUCCACUCCCUCUGCAAACAACAGGCAAUGAAGUGCCGAAAUCGAUGGUUUCUAACGAGAGAACUGAGAAGCAGCUCCACCAAAAUCGAUUCCUCCACUCUCUGUGAUUUUAAUUUCUUUAUUAUCUCCUAAAUUUCCUGCAUAAUCUUUUCUGAUGCUUGGCAGGGACUCGACGAACUGGAGGAAACAGAUUUCAGUAAUCAAAGGGUGGUUCUCGCCCUCUAUGAGACCAUGUACUCCGAUUUUAAUUUCUCUCUAUGGUUUCUAACGAGAGAACUGAGAAGCAGCUCCACCAAAAUCGAUUCCUCCACUCUCUGUGAUUUUAAUUUCUUUAUUAUCUCCUAAAUUUCCUGCAUAAUCUUUUAUGAUGCUUGGUAGGGACUCGACGAACUGGAGGAAACCGAUUUCAGUAAUCAAAGGGUGGUUCUCGCCCUCUAUGAGACCAUGUACUCGCACGACGUAACCACGAUGCACCAGAUGGUUGCCGACUGGAAGGGAAUCUCCGUUUCUGUCUUCUGAGCCCAGGCAAAGCAUCCCCUCUCUACGUAUCGUACGAGUGGGUCACGACGGCUCGCUGAUACCCUCCAUCUCAUCCAUGCUGUUUCCAGCGUGAAAGACUAGCAAAUCCAGUGGCUUCGUGAGGACAACUGGGAACUAAAGAAAAAAAAACAUAAAAUAAAAUAAAAGUGAGAGGAAAGUCAUGGAGAUGACCCCACUCUUCACUAACUGUUUUGUCCUUGUCCACGGAGGUGGCUUUGGUGCUUGGUGCUAUAACACAUCCUGCCCGAUGAGAUAAGCACAUGUUUAGUGAUAAGAAUUUAUUUCAAUUUUUUUAUUUUAUUUUGUAGGCCCACGCAUGCAAGUUGACAUGCAGGUCCUUGAUUUCAACUGACAGUGGUGUAGGGAUCGAUGAAUUUGCUUUAGUAACGUGACAGGGAUGUAUGGCAUCAUAGAAUUGACCCCAUCAACCUAACAUUGACGUUUCAUCCUCAAUCAUAAAAUAUAUAUUUGUAUUUUAAGUAAA
Carya illinoinensis is the source of this 1400-nucleotide long non-coding RNA. RefSeq lists it as uncharacterized. NCBI's taxonomy places the organism in Eukaryota, Viridiplantae, Streptophyta, Magnoliopsida, Fagales, Juglandaceae. The record is from RefSeq and is a predicted model, not a curated record. The transcript has 2 exons.